CGGACGGGUGAGUAAUGUCUGGGAAACUGCCUGAUGGAGGGGGAUAACUACUGGAAACGGUAGCUAAUACCGCAUAACGUCGCAAGACCAAAGAGGGGGACCUUCGGGCCUCUUGCCAUCGGAUGUGCCCAGAUGGGAUUAGCUAGUAGGUGGGGUAACGGCUCACCUAGGCGACGAUCCCUAGCUGGUCUGAGAGGAUGACCAGCCACACUGGGACUGAGACACGGCCCAG
Molecule: ribosomal RNA, 232 nt
Filed under: uncultured bacterium
Lineage: Bacteria
Description: partial 16S ribosomal RNA
Rfam family: Bacterial small subunit ribosomal RNA
Source: RNAcentral